This 429-nucleotide ribosomal RNA is filed under the name Pseudomonadota bacterium. RNAcentral describes it as "Proteobacteria bacterium partial 16S ribosomal RNA". It matches the Rfam family "Bacterial small subunit ribosomal RNA", at positions 355 to 776 of the family's 1533-position model. Lineage: Bacteria; Pseudomonadati; Pseudomonadota. The record is from RNAcentral.
UGGGGAAUAUUGGACAAUGGGCGAAAGCCUGAUCCAGCCAUGCCGCGUGUGUGAAGAAGGUCUUCGGAUUGUAAAGCACUUUAAGUUGGGAGGAAGGGCAGUAAGCGAAUACCUUGCUGUUUUGACGUUACCGACAGAAUAAGCACCGGCUAACUCUGUGCCAGCAGCCGCGGUAAUACAGAGGGUGCAAGCGUUAAUCGGAAUUACUGGGCGUAAAGCGCGCGUAGGUGGUUCGUUAAGUUGAAUGUGAAAGCCCCGGGCUCAACCUGGGAACUGCAUCCAAAACUGGCGAGCUAGGGUAGGGCAGAGGGUGGUGGAAUUUCCUGGGUAGCGGUGAAAUGCGUAGAUAUAGGAAGGAAAACCAGUGGCGAAGGCGACCACCUGGGCUCAUACUGACACUGAGGUGCGAAAGCGUGGGGAGCAAACAGG